Molecule: long non-coding RNA, 1669 nt
Organism: Lagopus leucura (white-tailed ptarmigan)
Lineage: Eukaryota; Metazoa; Chordata; Aves; Galliformes; Phasianidae
Exons: 5
Source: RefSeq, a predicted model, not a curated record
UCUUGUUCCCUGCACCCUUGUACGCAGGGGGCUGCGGCCCUCUCCCUCCCCUCUCCGUGGGUGCAUGCAUGCUGGAACAGUAGCAGAAAGGGAAAAAAAAGGUGUGAGCCACCAUUUUAGGCAGCCAACAUAAAAUGGCCGAUGCUCGCUUGUGGCUGCAGCCACCCCACCUCUCUGCCUGCGGUUCCAUAUCCCACCCAUGCCCCCACGUCCCACGAUGGCCCCACACCCCACUCGUGCCCCCUGUGCUCACCCUAGCCUUGCUCACCCACAUUUGCCCUUUCCCACCCAUGGUGUUCACUCCAGCAUCACCCCCAGAUCCUCUCCUUUGGAUUCAUUCCCCAUUUCUUCGGCGGGUGUAAAACCAACGUGAGCGUCCAGUCCUUUCUACAACAUGUUUUGGGGUGGUCGUUAAAAUUUGCUCUGUGUCAUGGGGGAUAUUUUCACUCACAUUUUGCCAAAUGAUCUUGCAGUGGCUCCAGCCCACAUUUGUAUUCUCAUGUAUUGCAGAAAUACUAACGAAGCAGCUGUUUGAUUAUUUUUUUUCCCCCUUUUCUUGGAUUAAUUGAGAAUGUUUUGUGGCUGUUUAAAGAUUGGGGGGGGAAUAAUAUCGGUGUGAAACACAACCAAGAACAUCCUUGCACUGUACGUGGCCCAUAGGGCCUCACGUGCCCAAUGGAAGAUUUGCAGGGACAGAAAUGACAGCAUGAGGUCGGACAGGAGCAGGAAUAUCACCUGAUCUGCUGGGAGCUUCUUGAUGGACAGAUUUUGUCCUGAUGCUUGAGGUUUUUAUUUUGGGGUGCUUUCUCCGCAGAGCCCAUUGUGGGUGGCUGCUAGUUUGGUGGUGAUCUCGACACUCCAUGAGGUUGCGUUGGUGCUUCCUGAUGUCUCCCCAUCUAUCCAUCACCAAGAGAGCAAGAAACCUGAAGCGCAGAGAGUAGCUUCUCCUGCUGUGAUGCUCCACGCUUUUCCUGGCCAGCCAAGAGUAAUGCUUGAGUCUUGAGGGAAGUUCAUUCAGAAUUGCCUGUUGCUGUUUUAUUCACUCCCAAUCCUCCAAGCCCACAGGCAGCAUCCUUUGAGGCGCUUAUUUGCUGGAGUGGAGGCUGGAAAGGAAAACCACAACCACAGCAGAGCCUGGAUAUGGGAAGCUGCUAGCAGGACCCAUCUUGAGGACGGUCGCUGUGUGUGCCUUCCUCCAUCCUCCUCCUCCUCCCAGCAGCUGGUGACGUGGAGCAGCACAGAGCAAGCCUGGCAUUGGGCUGUAAGGACAGCAGGAGCACUUCAGGGAUGGGACACAGCACCAUGCCACACUGGUGGAGAACACGAAGCUGGAAGCUGGAAGAGGGAAAAAAUCAACAGCAGCAGAAGAAAAGAAAGGAAACGAAAGUCUCCAAACUCAGGAAAUCCGUGUUAAUUGCUUACAAAUGUCUCCAUCUCAAAAAUUAUCCAAUUGAUGUUGUCGUGCUUUUUUUUUGACAGCCUGUCUGUUAUAUAUAUUUUUUAAAUAUUCAUGCACCGAAAUCUAAUUACUAGGCAAAUUUAAUGAUAAUGAAAUGAAGGCACUUUAGCAGAAAGCACGGGGCCUUGUUAAUAUUUUCUCAAUCUCUGUCUUGUUCGUGUUUUUAAAGCAUUUUUUUUGUUUGUUUUCACCACCGCCUCUCUUGCAGUA